CCCAGAUACAUCCUUGUGAGGUGGCUGACUUGGCAGAUACAAACUGUGAGAAGAGAUCACUCCUCCUAAAUGCUGUUGGAACUGAAAAUCAACCUCCUAUUCAGCACAUGUAUUUUUACAUGCACAUAUAGAAUCCUACCUGGUUUCCCAGCUACAUUCUUGUGAGGUGUCUGAUUGGCAGGUACAAACUGUGAGAAGAGAUCACACCU
RNAcentral lists this long non-coding RNA (209 nucleotides) under Ictidomys tridecemlineatus (thirteen-lined ground squirrel). RNAcentral's name for it is "lncRNA (ENSSTOG00000030199.1)". Lineage: Eukaryota; Metazoa; Chordata; Mammalia; Rodentia; Sciuridae. The record is from RNAcentral.